CCCACGAACCUAUACGCGAACCGAUCCGUAUCGUUCGGUCGGAUCUCGGAACACGAGGUUGAUCAAACAGUACGAUUAUUCGAAUAUUCUAUCGUAUACACAUACAUAGUUCGUCUACAUUAUACGAGAACGCAUAGUGGUUUAAACGAGUACACCGGGCGAAACACAGCGUUCUGGAAAUAUUUUUCACAAGAUUUACAAAAUUAAAAAAUCGCAAACGACCUUUCGAGUACUACACUCCGAUAAUAUUUUUAAUGAAUCAUUUUGUAUUCCGA
Non-coding RNA from Cinara cedri, 275 nucleotides. The record is from the annotation of a GenBank genome assembly. NCBI's taxonomy places the organism in Eukaryota, Metazoa, Arthropoda, Insecta, Hemiptera, Aphididae.